Long non-coding RNA from Ipomoea triloba (trilobed morning glory), 1271 nucleotides. RefSeq lists it as uncharacterized. The record is from RefSeq and is a predicted model, not a curated record. The transcript is spliced from 3 exons. Lineage: Eukaryota; Viridiplantae; Streptophyta; Magnoliopsida; Solanales; Convolvulaceae.
GUGUUCAAUGAAAUUUUCUACCUUUUUGGUAAAUGAAGAGUUUAACGAAAUCUAACCUAACCCUAAACCCUAACCCGUUUGGUCUUUCACUCUUUCAGUCAGGAGUCCUAAAUCUGUCGCCUCUUUCCCCUUGCGUCGCUAGGAGAUCCUGAGAGGCAUUAUCCAUCGUCUCAGAGGUAACGCUGGAAUAUUCAGUCUAGCUUUCACCGCUCUGCGUCUCUGCCUCGCCACUUCGCUCGGCUUCGUCUUCAACCGCGGCUGUCCGGCUCUGUGCCCUCAGGGUUGAAUAACUUGAAAAACCCUUCAGUUUUCUUGUAUGUUCCAUCCAUAAUCCAUUGCUGCCUCCAAACCUCUGCUUUAGAGCCUGAUUGAUUCGCAAGAAAAUAACAAUUGAUCUCCGGUUCUUUGACUUGCUUGAGGAAUCAAAGAUAGGAGAUUAGGUUUAGGGCUAAAAUUUUGAUUCUAAUAAUUGACAUUCUGUUAUUAAUCUCUUGCUUCAUUCUUGCCAUUUUUAGGUAAAGGACAAUAAAUACACACUUUAUAUGCUGUGCUUCUUUUUUAUUUUCAGAAAUUAUGCUUUGCUUAUGUUUAUUUGUAUGCUGGAAAAUUCUAUAUUGAGAUAAUUAUAUAUAUAUAUAUAUUUGGUUCAGUUAUGGAAAAAUUCUUUUAAAGAAAAUCAACUUUUGAGGAUUUAUCUAGUCAAGGUAGUCGCAAUGUGUCAAGUACAAGGUCUCUUAAUAUAGAUGAACUUGAACUUUGCUUCUUCGCUCCCACCGAACCCACUGAAAUGAAAUCCUGGAUCCGCCCGUCUCUCUGAUGUCAACUUUGUCCGAAUACAUUUUUUGCACACUAGUUGUAGAUGAAGGUUGUAAUCAUUGAUUCUUUGUUUAAAACUUAAUGCAUUUGGUUGUUUAGUAUUGGUUAGAGAUUAAGUUUGUCAUCCUUGGUUCUAUAUGUAGAUAUUGUCAUCUGUGAUUCUCUACAUAAAAUUAUUAAGUGUAUUUGUCCCACACUGAUUGGUUAGAAAUCAAGGUUGUCACCUUUGAUUCUCAAUACCAUAGUGAACCUUAAGUGAAACAAGCUUGGACACUAUGUUCAAACCUUAAAUUGACCCUUCUUCAUUCGAGUUUAGCCCAUUUUACACCCGUAAAUGCAAUUACAUUUCACCAUUAAACCAGAUCUCAGAGCUCUUAUUCUUUCCCUUAGUUCUACUUCUUGCUUGAGUGCAUGUCUAAUUUUAUUGAACUUAAUUUCAUUGCAUAUCUGCAUUU